Molecule: ribosomal RNA, 467 nt
Filed under: uncultured bacterium
Lineage: Bacteria
Description: bacterial SSU rRNA
Rfam family: Bacterial small subunit ribosomal RNA
Source: RNAcentral
UCCAGACUCCUACGGGAGGCAGCAGUGAGGAAUAUUGGUCAAUGGGCGAGAGCCUGAACCAGCCAAGUCGCGUGAAGGAUGACGGCCCUACGGGUUGUAAACUUCUUUUGUCAGGGAGCAAUUGAGUCCACGUGUGGGCUUAGCGAGAGUACCUGAAGAAAAAGCAUCGGCUAACUCCGUGCCAGCAGCCGCGGUAAUACGGAGGAUGCGAGCGUUAUCCGGAUUUAUUGGGUUUAAAGGGUGCGUAGGCGGAAUAUCAAGUCAGCGGUAAAAAUUCGGGGCUCAACCCCGGGGCUGCCGUUGAAACCGGAGCGCUAGAAUUCCGAUGCCGUCGGAGGAAUGUGUGGUGUAGCGGUGAAAUGCAUAGAUAUCACACAGAACACCGAUUGCGAAGGCAUCUGACGAAUCGGAGAUUGACGCUGAUGCACGAAAGCGUGGGUAUCGAACAGGAUUAGAUACCCCCGUAU